CUCCUGCUCACACUUGGUCCCUGGCAGCACCACCACCUUCUCAGCAGAACAACGAUGGAGUAGGUGGCAGUGCCCCAGAGACAAUGAGGGGCAGAAGGGGAUGAGGGCAGAGGAAGAUAAGCCAGCCAAAGAACAAGGAGAACAAUGGAAGGUACUAGAAGCUACCCUGGAGUUCAUCUGGCUCAAGGUAAUCUCCAGUGUCCCUUCUAUCUGUGACUAAGGACUAGAGAAAUAUCCACAAACUUGGGAGGCUCAUCUGCUGUGAAACCAAGCAAGCAUGACAAUGCUCAACUGCUCCUGUUUUCAAGCAUUCAUUUCAGGUAAUUGAAAUUUGCCUGUCUGCCAAACACUGGGAAUUUGCAAAAACAGGAUUUCACUCUAGC
Molecule: long non-coding RNA, 383 nt
Filed under: Mustela putorius furo (domestic ferret)
Lineage: Eukaryota; Metazoa; Chordata; Mammalia; Carnivora; Mustelidae
Description: lncRNA (ENSMPUG00000030959.1)
Source: RNAcentral